RNAcentral lists this transfer RNA (33 nucleotides) under Bos taurus (domestic cattle). RNAcentral's name for it is "piRNA piR-bta-8136514". Lineage: Eukaryota; Metazoa; Chordata; Mammalia; Artiodactyla; Bovidae. RNAcentral also lists the same sequence under 1 other name. The record is from RNAcentral.
GUAAAUAUAGUUUAACAAAAACACUAGAUUGUG